UAGGAUUAAACCAAUGAUAUUACAAAAACAAUUAUAAUUAUCUGACAGUUAUUUAGAAAAAUAUAUUUUUACUUACCGCCCAUAUUUAUUUCUGCUGACACCCAAAAGCUUAUAUACUGUCUAUGAGACAAUAGACUAAAAAGUACAUAAAAUGGUAUGGUAAUAAGAAAAAGGAUAAAAAUUAAACAUACAUUAUCAUGAAUCUAUUAUACUAGACCCAAUGAGAAAGUCAAGAAAGUGA
Molecule: long non-coding RNA, 241 nt
Filed under: Brassica napus (rape)
Lineage: Eukaryota; Viridiplantae; Streptophyta; Magnoliopsida; Brassicales; Brassicaceae
Description: long non-coding RNA (BNAP_LNC004094)
Source: RNAcentral